AUUGAACGCUGGCGGAAUGCUUUACACAUGCAAGUCGAGCGGCAGCGCGGUCUUCGGGCUGUCGGCGAGCGGCGAACGGGUGAGUAAUGCAUCGGAACAUGCCCAUUCGCGGUGGCUAACACUUCGAAAGAAGUGCUAAUACCGCAUACGUCCUGAGGGGGUAAGCGGGGGAUCGCAAGACCUUGCGCGAUUGGACUGGUCGAUGUCGGAUUAGCUAGUUGGCGGGGUAAAGGCCUACCAAGGCGACGAUCCGUAGCUGGUCUGAGAGGAUGAUCAGCCACACUGGAACUGAGACACGGCCCAGACUCCUACGGGAGGCAGCAGUGGGGAAUUUUGGACAAUGGGGGCAACCCUGAUCCAGCCAUUCCGCGUGAGUGAAGAAGGCCUUCGGGUUGUAAAGCUCUUUUGGCAGGAAAGAAAAGGUGCACUCUAAUAUAGUCCGCUUAUGACGGUACCUGAAGAAGAAGCACCGGCUAACUACGUG
This 484-nucleotide ribosomal RNA is filed under the name uncultured bacterium. RNAcentral describes it as "partial 16S ribosomal RNA". It matches the Rfam family "Bacterial small subunit ribosomal RNA", at positions 30 to 507 of the family's 1533-position model. The record is from RNAcentral.